CCGGAAGAAAUUCGCCUGACGAACACGAACAGACCGAGGACAACUUGGUAAACCGAAGUUCCAGUCAGGAAUACGUAGAGUCAACAGUCGUCCAAUAUAUAUUCGACCUGGUGAACUCGUACGGUCUGGCGUUAGGACUCGGUAAAUAAACUCUGGUAAAUAAAGCUACCUCUAGUUCGCAUCCUCGCGAGCCGGUGAAGUGCUCCUUCUCGCUGCACGAGUGCCCACCACCGCACAGUCUGCUGCACCCUCUUCUUGGGCUACCCCCGCCACUCAACCAGAAUUUUAUGGGGAUUCCGUUAAUGGGACCGGCGGGCAGAGCCCUGCAAUUGCCUUCUCUUUUUCUGACGUUCCGUGGAAUACCAAGCCGUGAAACGUCCACUUGAAUGGGAUACGU
Molecule: unclassified non-coding RNA, 397 nt
Filed under: Bombus terrestris (buff-tailed bumblebee)
Lineage: Eukaryota; Metazoa; Arthropoda; Insecta; Hymenoptera; Apidae
Description: misc RNA ENSBTSG00005031162.1
Source: RNAcentral